AGGACGAACGCUGGCGGCGUGCCUAACACAUGCAAGUGGAGCGACGAACCGGGCUUCGGCCCGGGGCAAAGCCGCGAACGGGUGAGUAACACGUGGGUAACCUGCCCCGAUGAUUGGGACAACCCGAGGAAACUCGGGCUAAUACCGAAUGUGCCCUCCGGCCUCAAGGCCGCUGGGGAAAGGAAGCUUCGGCCUCCGCAUCGGGAUGGGCCCGCGGCCCAUUAGCUUGUUGGUGAGGUAACGGCUCACCAAGGCGACGAUGGGUAGCUGGUCUGAGAGGACGAUCAGCCACACUGGGACUGAGACACGGCCCAGACUCCUACGGGAGGCAGCAGUGGGGGAAUAUUGGACAAUGGGCGCAAGCCUGAUCCAGCCAUGCCGCGUGAGUGAUGAAGGCCCUAGGGUUGUAAAGCUCUUUUGUGCGGGAAGAUAAUGACGGUACCGCAAGAAUAAGCCCCGGCUAACUUCGUGCCAGCAGCCGC
This 482-nucleotide ribosomal RNA is filed under the name uncultured bacterium. RNAcentral describes it as "SSU rRNA". It matches the Rfam family "Bacterial small subunit ribosomal RNA", at positions 26 to 518 of the family's 1533-position model. The record is from RNAcentral.